This 2295-nucleotide unclassified non-coding RNA is filed under the name Dimorphilus gyrociliatus. Its description in RNAcentral is "protein BANP". Lineage: Eukaryota; Metazoa; Annelida; Polychaeta; Dinophilidae. The record is from RNAcentral.
AUAACGAACGUGGAAGAUCGCCAUUAUCGUUUUUUCUCGAGGAAUCGGCGAGAUUUUAGGUAAAUUUCAAGCUAUUCGAACGUAUGAAACAACUAAUCUAACUUACUAAGAAAUUAUGGCUUUAGAUACUUCAAAAAAAUCUCAAGUUCUCGACAAAAUAUUAAAGGAUGUCAAGUUCGAACGCCGCAGAUACGGAUGCGGAGGAUAUGACAUCUGUGGAGGGAACGGUUGAUGCGACCUUAAUGGAUUCUAUGCAAGUUAUAUAUUCUGAACAUCCAUUUACAUCCGUUAAAGAAGAGGUAAACACAACCUAAAGAUUAAUUCAUUUGAAUUUUUGUAGAUAUUUAAUUUCGAAAUUUGUUUCAAAAUCUGGCAAAACAAUUCAAGGACUAAAUUAUUAAAGUUAAUCCAGCCUAACUAGUAAAUUUUUAAAGAGAUGAUUAAAAUAUCAUGGGUGCAGCAGGGAUUAACUGUAUGUUUUACUUCUAAAUAGUUUUUGAUUAGGGCCCAUUGACAACCAUUUAUGAGAUUUGGAAGAGGAAUAGCUUGAAUUUGCUUUAUAUUUGUAAAGCAAAUUCUUUCUUCGUAGUCAUUCACUAAGUCAGAAAGAUUAUGCUUAAUUUUAUAAUAGCAUUAAAAUUUCCAUAUAAAAAUUAUGAUAUUAAAAAAAAUAUUCCGUUUUAUUAGAAAAUUUUAAAUUCUGAGACAAGAAGUAAAUAAGUUUUCUUUUUAGCAUAUCGAAUUACCUUCCAAGAGAAUGCGGCUAUCUGAAGAGCUCACGGCUGAAGCAUCUAUUAAAAGUUUAUUGUACACAAUUCAAAAAACUUUAAGUAAUGUUGAAAAGAAGAUAGAUAAUUUAGAAAGAAGAGUUGAUAAACAGACUAAUGCCAUAAAAUUAUUAGAACAAAAAUUUGAAACGUCUCAACCCCGUCAAGGUGUCUACAUGAAUCAAAAUAUAAGUAAACCGACAACGUCUCAAAAACGCUCUUACGGGAGUUUGCCGAGUUCACCCACAUCUCCAUCGCCGGAAGUAACUAACCCGGCUGAUGCAAAUGUAUCGCAAAAUGUAACUCUCAUCACUCUAAAUAACGAAUCAGACUAUCCUAAUGGAUCAUGGCUCGGUGAUGAAAAUAAUCCGAAUCUACGAGUAAGAACACCUGUUACACCAGCUAAUUUAUUGCAUGUAAAUACAAACUGUAGAUCAGCUGAAAAAAUGGCACUUACACUGCUGGACUAUUUAUUUGAUAGGGAAACGCAGGCGGUCAGCAAUUUAUCGGGUAUGGGAAAGCACGGAAAAAAACAGCUGGAUCCUUUAAUGAUAUUUGGUAUAAGGUGUCAUUUAAUUCACAAAUUUAGUAUAUCAGAAGGCGAUUGGCAUCGAAUUAAACAAAAUAUUGAUUCUAAGUGUCGAACUGCAUUCAGAAGAAGAAGUAAAGGAAUGCCAUUAACUGUAAAAGCUUUCAAAAAUCGCCCCAACACCAACUCAUCUUCUUCAGGGAAUAACACUACAUAUGUUACAAAUGAAUCUAGUGACUUAAAUCUUGGAAUUGAAGGUGUAGAUAUGGUUUCGUCACCUAACAGUGAAAUUCAAGUUUUCCAUGCUACACCUGAACAAUUGGAGGCUUUACGAACUGGUCAAAUUCAAGUUGUUCAGCAAACUGUUGCAAAUAAUGAUGAUGUCCAGAUUUCAGCUGUACCUUUAACACCCGAUACCUUUCGAAUAGUUCAUGCAGAAGCUUCAGAUGGCGUCUCUGCAUCAGAAUAGUAGCAAAAUUUUUACUGAUCUCGGGUAUUUCUGUUCUCUUAUAAGAUGUUGAUUCAUAAUAUAUCACAAAAUGCUUGAAAGAAACAUUUUUGUACAAUUUGCUCGUAAAUUUUAAAGUUAUACCAACACAAUGUGCUUACGUUAAUUAUUAUUCACAUUGUAUUUCAGCACCUGUAAUGUUUCCCUAACGCAUGUUAUAUGUGUUUUGAACUAAUUGCAUUCUGUGCAAUUAGCUGUUAAUUUAAAUUUCCGCUUGCAUGCCAAAUCUUGAUUGAUGGUGAUAAUUUUUUUUUAGCUAAAAGACCAAUUAUUUACAGCUGUGCAAUGUGUAGACAGAUAAAGUAUUUUUUUAAGGCGUUAUUGUAUACUUUUAAGAUAUUUAAGAGUAGGAUGUUUUGUUCUUAUGGAAUUAAUGUAAAACUACUGAAAAGUUAUUUUUAAUAUUAUAUACACCUACCGUUUACUAUUUUGAAUUCAAAACAAGCAAUUUUAUUCUUAACUUAUAUGCAAUAUAUGUAUAUACAACAGAG